Molecule: long non-coding RNA, 644 nt
Filed under: Nicotiana tabacum (common tobacco)
Lineage: Eukaryota; Viridiplantae; Streptophyta; Magnoliopsida; Solanales; Solanaceae
Description: long non-coding RNA (NTAB_LNC008006)
Source: RNAcentral
CAGUUUAGGGUUUAAAACUCUAACGCUGAUUGCGUGAAAAGCUCAGUUUAGGGUUUAAACCCCUAAUGCUGGCUAAAAGGAAAAAGUUCAGUUUAGGGUUUAAAACCCUAAUGCUGACUAAAAGGAAAAUUCAGUUUAGGGUUUAAAACCCUAAUGCUGAUUGCAUGAAAAAGCUCAGUUUAGAGUUUAAAACUCUAAUGCUGGCUGAAAGGGGAAAGUUCAGUUUAGGGUUUAAAACCCUAAUGCUGACUAAAAGGAAAAUUCAGUUUAGGGUUUAAAACCCUAAUGAUAAUUGCAUGGAAAAGCUCAUUUUAGAGUUUAAAACUCUAAUGCUGGCUGGAAGGAAAAUUCAGUUUAGGGUUUAAAACCCUAAUGCUGAUUGCAUGGAAAAGCUCAGUUUAGAGUUUAAAACUCUAAUGCUGGCUGAAAGGAAAAUUCAGUUUAGGGUUUAAAACCCUAAUGCUGAUUGCAUGGAAAAGCUCAGUUUAGAGUUUAAAACUCUAAUGCUGGCUGGAAGGGAAAUUCAGUUUAGGGUUUAAAACCCUAAUGCUGAUUGCAUGGAAAAACUCAGUUUAGAGUUUAAAACUCUAAUGCUGGCUGAAAGGAAAAAGUUCAUUUUAGGGUUUAAAACCCCUAAUGCUGAC